AACGACCUGAUGUCAGAAGAAGAUACCCUGGAAUUCCUGUUGCAGGAUGACCCAAACGAUCAUGCAUUCAGUAUAAACAUGAACAUGAUGUUGUCCACUAAGCUAAUGGUGGGGAUCGUAGCACUACCCUGCACACAGACAUGGAAUGAAUCUGCCUAGUCCAUUAUCAGAAGAGUGACCGGGACUGUUUGUCCCAUCAGAGAAGUUUCUCGAGAAGCAUGACAAGGGACUUGUAUGAAUGGGCAGAAGAAAUUUUCUUAACUGACUAUCCCAUCAUUGCCUGCUGUUGGAGACUGAACACUUUAUUGAAAAUCGCUGGGGUGUAGCAAACAGUGGGUGUCAUUGCCCUGAGAAGAGUCAGAGAAGUAUUCAUUUUUAUUGGAAAAAGUUUAGUUCAUGUAAAGAGCAUGAAGGCAGAUUUUACAGUUAUCUCCCUUAGACUAUGUAAAUUAUAAUACAGCUCUUGCUAAUGAUGUUAUUUAACUUAUUAAAUGUUGU
Molecule: long non-coding RNA, 498 nt
Organism: Ostrea edulis (European flat oyster)
Lineage: Eukaryota; Metazoa; Mollusca; Bivalvia; Ostreida; Ostreidae
Exons: 3
Source: RefSeq, a predicted model, not a curated record